RNAcentral lists this ribosomal RNA (308 nucleotides) under uncultured bacterium. RNAcentral describes it as "bacterial SSU rRNA". It matches the Rfam family "Bacterial small subunit ribosomal RNA", at positions 28 to 361 of the family's 1533-position model. The record is from RNAcentral.
GACGAACGCUGGCGGUGUGCUUCACACAUGCAAGUCGAACGAGGUAGCAAUACCUAGUGGCGGACGGGUGAGUAACGCGUGGGAAUCUGCCUUUAGAUGGGGGAUAACGGGUCGAAAGACUCGCUAAUACCGCAUAUGACGAAAGUUGAAAGGAGUAAUCCGUCUAAAGAUGAGCCCGCGUCCGAUUAGCUAGUUGGUAGAGUAAAAGCCUACCAAGGCGACGAUCGGUAGCUGGUCUGAGAGGAUGAUCAGCCACAAUGGGACUAGAAGACACGGCCCAUACUCCUACGGGAGGCAGCAGCGGGGAA